This 237-nucleotide ribosomal RNA is filed under the name uncultured bacterium. RNAcentral describes it as "partial 16S ribosomal RNA". It matches the Rfam family "Bacterial small subunit ribosomal RNA", at positions 99 to 334 of the family's 1533-position model. The record is from RNAcentral.
CGAACGGGUGAGUAACGCGUGAGGAACCUGCCUCAAAGAGGGGGACAACAGUUGGAAACGACUGCUAAUACCGCAUAAGCCCACGGCUCGGCAUCGAGCGGAGGGAAAAGGAGCAAUCCGCUUUGAGAUGGCCUCGCGUCCGAUUAGCUAGUUGGUGAGGUAAUGGCCCACCAAGGCAACGAUCGGUAGCCGGACUGAGAGGUUGAACGGCCACAUUGGGACUGAGACACGGCCCAG